This is a non-coding RNA of Phrynosoma platyrhinos (Desert horned lizard), 72 nucleotides long. The record is from the annotation of a GenBank genome assembly. Lineage: Eukaryota; Metazoa; Chordata; Lepidosauria; Squamata; Phrynosomatidae.
CCCAGAAUGGUGUAAUGGUUUGAGCGUUGGACUAUGAUUCCAGAGAUCAGGGCUUGAUUCCCCGUUCGAGCA